This 1775-nucleotide ribosomal RNA is filed under the name Schmidingerella taraikaensis. RNAcentral describes it as "partial Eukaryotic large subunit ribosomal RNA". It matches the Rfam family "Eukaryotic large subunit ribosomal RNA", at positions 1 to 1819 of the family's 3401-position model. The record is from RNAcentral. Lineage: Eukaryota; Ciliophora; Spirotrichea; Tintinnida; Rhabdonellidae.
UCUGAAAUGAAGUAGGACCACCCGCUGAACUUAAGCAUAUCAUUAAGCGGAGGAAAAGAAACUAACAAGGAUUCCCCUAGUACGGGCGACGGAAGCGGGAAAAGCCCACGCUGGUAAUCUGCGGGCGUUAGCUCGUCGAAUUGUAAUCUGAAGAUGGUUGGUCUAACGGAGUCGGGCGACGAAGUGUGCACGAGCGCGCCGCCAAAGAGGGUGAGAGCCCCGUAAGUUGCCAGACUCUACAAAGGCCGGUCGUCGAAGAGUCGUGUACUUUGAUACUAGUGCACCAAGCGGGAGAUAAACUUCUUCUAAGGCUAAAUAUAAGUAGGAAACCGAUAGCGAACAAGUACUGUGAAGGAAAGAUGAAAAGCACUUUGGAAAGAAAGUUAAAAGACUUGAAAUCGUUGAGGCGGACCCGGUAGAAAUGUAUUCUAGCGAAACUCCCUGGGAAGCCUGUACGCGGGUGUCUUGGGAGUUAGCCGAGGCAAGAUGGAGUCGCGCGAUGCUAGAGGCCGUGCAGGAGGUUCUUCGGAAAAGCCUGUGCAGGUUGAGUGUCGGGCGGCUUGAGGGGCUUAGAGCGAUCUUGUCAAAAUGGUUUUUACCGACUCGUCUUGUAACACGAACCAAGGAGUCUAAGACUAACGCGAGUAUGGUGGUGGAGAAACCAACAUGCGAAAUGAAAGUAAAUGAUGCCAAGACAACUGCAGCAUCGACCGACUUUUUUCUCUUGGAAGAGGUUUGAGUAAGAGCGUUAUUCUUAGGACCCGAAAGAUGGUGAACUAUGCCUGUGUAGGGUGAAGUCAGGGGAAACUCUGAUGGAAGCUCGUAGCGAUACUGACGUGCAAAUCGUUCGUCGAACAUGGGUAUAGGGGCGAAAGACUAAUCGAACCAUCUAGUAGCUGGUUCCCUCCGAAGUUUCCCUCAGGAUAGCUGGGACAAUCACGCAGUUUUAUUAGGUAAAGCGAAUGAUUAGAGGAAUCGGGGAUAAAAUGUCCUUGACCUAUUCUCAAACUUUAAAUUGGUAAGAACUCCCGUCUUCGCUUAAUUGAAGCAGGAGGUUCAAUGCGUGUCCUUAGUGGGCCAUUUUUGGUAAGCAGAACUGGCGAUGAGGGAUGCUCCUAACGUCUGGUUAAGGUGCCAAACUGCACGCUCAUCAGAAACUACAAAGGGUGUUAGUUCAUACAGACAGCAGGACGGUGGCCAUGGAAGUCGGAAUCCGCUAAGGAGUGUGUAACAACUCACCUGCCGAAUGAACUAGCCCUGAAAAUGGAUGGCGCUUCAGCGAAUCACUUAUACUAAACUAAUGUUUUUUUUUUUUUUAAGACAUUAAGUAGGAGGGCGUGGAGAUGGCGACGCAGCCUUUGGCGUGAGCUUGGGUGAAGCUGUCUCUAGUGCAGAUCUUGGUGGUAGUAGCAAGUAUUCAAAAGAGAUCUUUGAAGACUGAAGUGGAGAAAGGUUCCAUGUGAACAGUAAUUGGACAUGGGUGAGUCGAUCCUAAGAGAUAGGAAAAUUCUGUUUGAAUGUGGCCCUUUUCCGGAAGGGCCCGGCUAUCGAAAGGGAAUCGGGUUAAUAUUCCCGAACCAGGACGUGGAUAAUGAGUGGUAACACAAGCGAAAUCGGGGACGUUGGCGGGAGCCCCGGGAAGAGUUCUCUUUUCUUCUUAACAGUUCAGUGGACCUUGGAAUCGGAUUGCCCGGCGAUAAGGUUCAGUGGCUGGGAAAGCGGCACACUUUUUGUGCCGUCCGGUGCGCUUCCGACGACCCGUGAAAACCCGGUGG